RNAcentral lists this ribosomal RNA (517 nucleotides) under uncultured bacterium. RNAcentral describes it as "bacterial SSU rRNA". It matches the Rfam family "Bacterial small subunit ribosomal RNA", at positions 1050 to 1533 of the family's 1533-position model. The record is from RNAcentral.
UGUCGUCAGCUCGUGCCGUGAGGUGUUGGGUUAAGUCCCGCAACGAGCGCAACCCCUAUCUUUAGUUGCCAUCAGGUAAUGCUGGGAACUCUAAAGAAACUGCCGUCGUAAGACGUGAGGAAGGAGGGGAUGAUGUCAAGUCAUCAUGGCCUUUAUGCCCAGGGCUACACACGUGCUACAAUGGGGGGGACAAAGGGCUGCCACUUAGCGAUAAGGAGCUAAUCCCAAAAACCCUCUCUCAGUUCAGAUUGGAGUCUGCAACUCGACUCCAUGAAGCUGGAAUCACUAGUAAUCGUAUAUCAGCAAUGAUACGGUGAAUACGUUCCCGGACCUUGCACACACCGCCCGUCAAGCCAUGGAAGCUGGGUGUACCUAAAGUCGGUAACCGCAAGGAGCCGCCUAGGGUAAAACUAGUGACUGGGGCUAAGUCGUAACAAGGUAGCCGUACCGGAAGGUGCGGCUGGAAUACCUCCUUUUUAGAGCAUGCUUAGAUUUACAUGCUGUUGCUUUUCCACUU